Molecule: ribosomal RNA, 451 nt
Filed under: uncultured bacterium
Lineage: Bacteria
Description: partial 16S ribosomal RNA
Rfam family: Bacterial small subunit ribosomal RNA
Source: RNAcentral
AACGAACGCUGGCGGCAGGCUUAACACAUGCAAGUCGAACGGGUGUAGCAAUACAUCAGUGGCGCACGGGUGAGUAACGCGUGGGAAUAUGCCCUUUGGUACGGAACAACCUCGGGAAACUGAGGCUAAUACCGUAUAAUAUCUGCGGAUCAAAGAUUUAUCGCCAAAGGAUUGGCCCGCGUUGGAUUAGGUAGUUGGUGAGGUAACGGCUCACCAAGCCGACGAUCCAUAGCUGGUCUGAGAGGAUGAUCAGCCACACUGGGACUGAGACACGGCCCAGACUCCUACGGGAGGCAGCAGUGAGGAAUAUUGGACAAUGGAGGAAACUCUGAUCCAGCCAUGCCGCGUGAGUGAUGAAGGCCUUCGGGUUGUAAAGCUCUUUUACCCCUGACGAUAAUGACGGUAAGGGGAGAAAAAGCCACGGCUAACUUCGUGCCAGCCGCCGCCGUAA